Molecule: long non-coding RNA, 290 nt
Organism: Camelina sativa (false flax)
Lineage: Eukaryota; Viridiplantae; Streptophyta; Magnoliopsida; Brassicales; Brassicaceae
Source: RefSeq, a predicted model, not a curated record
GAAGAAUGGUAAUUCUGAACCUCCUAAAGACAGGUGAGAAAAAGCAUCGAGAAAACAUCUUACGGGGAGAGUUUGCAAAGACAAUCCAAUUUAUUAACAAAGGCGUGGACAAGGAGAAUCUUUUAAAGGCAAUCGUCCAUUUUGAUCUAAGCAAACACUACAAAAAAAGGAGCUGAUGGUGCAUUCAACCACUUGUGUAUCUUUGCAAGGAAAGCAUUGGAAUUAACUGACUUGUUUUACUGUAAAGUUCCUUCAGGUGUAGGAGGUGAUGGAGUAAUUUAUGAUUCGUU